GCGCAGGUGACAGAGCGGUCAAUUGUAUCAGACUGUAAAUCUGACGCCUAUCGGCUACGGAGGUUCGAAUCCUCCCCUGCGCA
Molecule: transfer RNA, 83 nt
Rfam family: tRNA
About the family: Transfer RNA (tRNA) molecules are approximately 80 nucleotides in length.